Anas platyrhynchos (mallard) is the source of this 216-nucleotide non-coding RNA. Lineage: Eukaryota; Metazoa; Chordata; Aves; Anseriformes; Anatidae. The record is from RefSeq and is a predicted model, not a curated record.
CCAGCUGCCUCUGCAGUGACUCUGGUGCGUGAUGAGCAGAGGUGGAGUGGAUGAUAGUGGCUGCACUGUUGGAGCUUGGUUUCGGAGAGGAACAGCUGAUGAUGAGCCUGGCAAUUGACUAAGAUGACAAUCGGUGCCUGUGUAUUUCUUGAGGUGGAAGGAAUUUACCAUCCAACAACCUGAGAGCUAAGUUGGGGGGCGCCUGGUAUUUGCAUA